GAUGAACGCUGGCGGCGUGCUUAACACAUGCAAGUCGAACGGGAAUUAUUUUAUUGAAACUUCGGUCGAUUUAAUUUAAUUCUAGUGGCGGACGGGUGAGUAACGCGUGGGUAACCUGCCUUAUACAGGGGGAUAACAGUCAGAAAUGGCUGCUAAUACCGCAUAAGCGCACAGAGCUGCAUGGCUCAGUGUGAAAAACUCCGGUGGUAUAAGAUGGACCCGCGUUGGAUUAGCUUGUUGGCAGGGUAACGGCCUACCAAGGCGACGAUCCAUAGCCGGCAUGGGAGGGUGAACGGCCACAUUGGGACUGCGACACGGCCCAGACUCCUACGGGAGGCAGCAGUGGGGAAUAUUGCACAAUGGGGGAAACCCUGAUGCAGCGACGCCGCGUGAAGGAAGAAGUAUCUCGGUAUGUAAACUUCUAUCAGCAGGGAAGAUAGUGACGGUACCUGACUAAGAAGCCCCGGCUAACUACGUG
RNAcentral lists this ribosomal RNA (478 nucleotides) under uncultured bacterium. RNAcentral's name for it is "partial 16S ribosomal RNA". It matches the Rfam family "Bacterial small subunit ribosomal RNA", at positions 28 to 507 of the family's 1533-position model. The record is from RNAcentral.